GAUGAACGCUGGCGGCGUGCCUAAUACAUGCAAGUCGAGCGAACGGACGAGAAGCUUGCUUCUCUGAUGUUAGCGGCGGACGGGUGAGUAACACGUGGAUAACCUACCUAUAAGACUGGGAUAACUUCGGGAAACCGGAGCUAAUACCGGAUAAUAUUUUGAACCGCAUGGUUCAAAAGUGAAAGACGGUCUUGCUGUCACUUAUAGAUGGAUCCGCGCUGCAUUAGCUAGUUGGUAAGGUAACGGCUUACCAAGGCAACGAUGCAUAGCCGACCUGAGAGGGGGAUCGGCCAAACGUGAACUGGGACACGGUCCAGACUCCUACGGGAGGCAGGAGUAGGGAAUCUUCCGCAAUGGGCGAAAGCCUGACGGAGCAACGCCGCGGGAGUGAUGAAGGUCUUCGGAUCGUAAAACUCUGUUAUUAGGGAAGAACAUAUGUGUAAGUAACUGUGCACAUCUGGACGGUACCUAAGCAGAAAGCCACGGCUAACUACGU
Molecule: ribosomal RNA, 496 nt
Filed under: uncultured bacterium
Lineage: Bacteria
Description: partial 16S ribosomal RNA
Rfam family: Bacterial small subunit ribosomal RNA
Source: RNAcentral